This 73-nucleotide ribosomal RNA is filed under the name Streptomyces corynorhini. RNAcentral's name for it is "Streptomyces sp. AC230 partial 23S ribosomal RNA". Lineage: Bacteria; Bacillati; Actinomycetota; Actinomycetes; Kitasatosporales; Streptomycetaceae. The record is from RNAcentral.
UAGGCCAGAUGUGGAAGACCGGUAACGGUUGGAGCUGACUGGUACUAAUAGGCCGAGGGCUUGUCCUCAGUUG